Calidris pugnax (ruff) is the source of this 259-nucleotide long non-coding RNA. RefSeq lists it as uncharacterized. The transcript has 3 exons. The record is from RefSeq and is a predicted model, not a curated record. NCBI's taxonomy places the organism in Eukaryota, Metazoa, Chordata, Aves, Charadriiformes, Scolopacidae.
GAGCGGCAGCCAUUUGAUUACCUCACAGGAUCUGCUGGGUUUUCUUGCCAAGAAUGGAGAACACACAAGCUUUGUGCCAACAAAACCACUUCCCUCACCUUGGAGUAAGCUGCUUCACAUCCAAGUGCUAGUGAGAAAAAUGAAGAACACAGAGGCAUCCAAUCACUGCAUAUCAUCGGUGCUGGCAGGCUGCAGCCUGCAGGGUGUCAAGAUCCCACCCCACCCCAGAGCAUCCCUCGGAGCAGAGCACCAAGUAAGC